RNAcentral lists this transfer RNA (62 nucleotides) under Escherichia coli. Its description in RNAcentral is "tRNA-Met". It matches the Rfam family "tRNA", at positions 6 to 65 of the family's 71-position model. Rfam says of the family: Transfer RNA (tRNA) molecules are approximately 80 nucleotides in length. The record is from RNAcentral. Lineage: Bacteria; Pseudomonadati; Pseudomonadota; Gammaproteobacteria; Enterobacterales; Enterobacteriaceae.
UUUAGCUCAGUGGUGAGAGCGAGCGACUCAUAAUCGCCAGGUCGCUGGUUCAAAUCCAGCAA